GCCUACAGCUAGCUUUCUGCAACUUUCACAUGGUCACCCACUGAAGCUAAGCAGGGCAGCGUCUGGUCAGUACCUGGAUGGGAGAUCACAUGAGAAAACUAGGUUGCUGCCGGAA
Molecule: ribosomal RNA, 115 nt
Organism: Danio rerio (zebrafish)
Lineage: Eukaryota; Metazoa; Chordata; Actinopteri; Cypriniformes; Danionidae
Source: Ensembl